GGCCCUGUCACAAUGAAACACCAGUUCUCGUACAAUCACCAAAGUUAAGCAACAUUGAGCCUGGUCAGUAUUUAGAAGGGUAACUGUUUGGGAAUGCCGGGUGCUGUAAG
Non-coding RNA from Acanthosepion pharaonis, 110 nucleotides. The record is from the annotation of a GenBank genome assembly. NCBI's taxonomy places the organism in Eukaryota, Metazoa, Mollusca, Cephalopoda, Sepiida, Sepiidae.